UACGUAGGGUGCGAGCGUUGUCCGGAAUUAUUGGGCGUAAAGAGCUCGUAGGCGGUUUGUUGCGUCGGCCGUGAAAACUUGGGGCUUAACUCCAAGCUUGCGGUCGAUACGGGCAGACUUGAGUUCGGCAGGGGAGACUGGAAUUCCUGGUGUAGCGGUGAAAUGCGCAGAUAUCAGGAGGAACACCGGUGGCGAAGGCGGGUCUCUGGGCCGAUACUGACGCUGAGGAGCGAAAGCGUGGGGAGCGAACAGG
This 253-nucleotide ribosomal RNA is filed under the name uncultured bacterium. RNAcentral's name for it is "partial 16S ribosomal RNA". It matches the Rfam family "Bacterial small subunit ribosomal RNA", at positions 524 to 776 of the family's 1533-position model. The record is from RNAcentral.